Haliotis rubra (blacklip abalone) is the source of this 251-nucleotide long non-coding RNA. RefSeq lists it as uncharacterized. The transcript is spliced from 2 exons. NCBI's taxonomy places the organism in Eukaryota, Metazoa, Mollusca, Gastropoda, Lepetellida, Haliotidae. The record is from RefSeq and is a predicted model, not a curated record.
GGAGAUGCGUGUGCCUCAUGUCCUGCGUGUAUCCAGAGAAGAUAAACCUGGUGACAAGGAUACAGAAUGUGCGAUUCUCUAAAACGAAAUCCAGAAUGUCAUGAAUCAGUUAAAGAAGGAGAUUCAUCUGACUUUCCUAUAGAUGACGGAAUAAUGUGUAGAUACAUCUGACAUUUGUGUUAAUCUCAUUGAUUCAUUCACGAUUCCACAUGAUAUUAAUACAGAAAAGAAAUUAACACGAUGACACUGUA